UGCCGGCGACCGGCGGACGGGUGCGUAACGCGUAUGUAACCUACCUUUGACAGGGGGAUAACAUCGAGAAAUUGGUACUAAUACCCCAUAACAUCACCGGAGGCAUCUUCGGUGGUUGAAAACUCAGGUGGUCAGAGAUGGACAUGCGUUGUAUUAGCUAGUUGGUGAGGUAACGGCUCACCAAGGCGACGAUACAUAGGGGGACUGAGAGGUCCAACCCCCCACAUUGGUACUGAGACACGGACCAAACUCCUACGGGAGGCAGCAG
RNAcentral lists this ribosomal RNA (268 nucleotides) under uncultured bacterium. Its description in RNAcentral is "partial 16S ribosomal RNA". It matches the Rfam family "Bacterial small subunit ribosomal RNA", at positions 86 to 354 of the family's 1533-position model. The record is from RNAcentral.